UGGCUCAGGAUGAACGCUAGCGACAGGCCUAACACAUGCAAGUCGAGGGGCAGCACAAGGAGCAAUCUGAGGUGGCGACCGGCGCACGGGUGAGUAACACGUAUGCAACCUGCCUGUAAGCGGGGAAUAACCCGUUGAAAGACGGACUAAUACCGCAUAAUACUAAAUUACUGCAUGGUAAUUUAUUUAAACAUUUAUGGCUUACAGAUGGGCAUGCGCAUGAUUAGCUAGUUGGAGAGGUAACGGCUCCCCAAGGCAACGAUCAUUAGGGGUUCUGAGAGGAAGGUCCCCCACACUGGUACUGAGACACGGACCAGACUCCUACGGGAGGCAGCAGUGAGGAAUAUUGGUCAAUGGACGAGAGUCUGAACCAGCCAAGUCGCGUGCAGGAAGAAAUGUCCUAUGGAUUGUAAACUGCUUUUGCAGGGGAAUAAAGUGCAUCACGUGUGAUGUUUUGUAUGUACUCUGCGAAUAAGGAUCGGCUAACUCCGUGCCAGCCGCGGC
This 504-nucleotide ribosomal RNA is filed under the name uncultured bacterium. RNAcentral's name for it is "bacterial SSU rRNA". It matches the Rfam family "Bacterial small subunit ribosomal RNA", at positions 20 to 518 of the family's 1533-position model. The record is from RNAcentral.